GACGAACGCUGGCGGCGUGCUUAACACAUGCAAGUCGAACGGAAAGGCCCUGCUUUUGUGGGGUGCUCGAGUGGCGAACGGGUGAGUAACACGUGAGUAACCUGCCCUUGACUUUGGGAUAACUUCAGGAAACUGGGGCUAAUACCGGAUAGGAGCUCCUGCUGCAUGGUGGGGGUUGGAAAGUUUCGGCGGUCGGGGAUGGACUCGCGGCUUAUCAGCUUGUUGGUGGGGUAGUGGCUUACCAAGGCUUUGACGGGUAGCCGGCCCGAGAGGGUGACCGGCCACAUUGGGACUGAGAUACGGCCCAGAGUCCUACGGGAGGCAGCAGUGGGGAAUAUUGCACAAUGGGCGGGAGCCUGAUGCAGCAGCGCCGCGUGCGGGAUGACGGCCUUCGGGUUGUAAACCGCUUUCGCCUGUGACGAAGAGUGAGUGACGGUAAUGGGUAAAGAAGCACCGGCUAACUACGUG
Molecule: ribosomal RNA, 468 nt
Filed under: uncultured bacterium
Lineage: Bacteria
Description: partial 16S ribosomal RNA
Rfam family: Bacterial small subunit ribosomal RNA
Source: RNAcentral